GACGAACGCUGGCGGCGUGCUUAACACAUGCAAGUCGAACGGAAAGGCCCUGCUUUUGUGGGGUGCUCGAGUGGCGAACGGGUGAGUAACACGUGAGUAACCUGCCCUUGACUUUGGGAUAACUUCAGGAAACUGGGGCUAAUACCGGAUAGGAGCUCCUGCUGCAUGGUGGGGGUUGGAAAGUUUCGGCGGUUGGGGAUGGACUCGCGGCUUAUCAGCUUGUUGGUGGGGUAGUGGCUUACCAAGGCUUUGACGGGUAGCCGGCCUGAGAGGGUGACCGGCCACAUUGGGACUGGGAUACGGCCCAGGCUCCUACGGGGAGCAGCAGUGGGGAAUAUUGCACAAUGGGCGGAAGCCUUAUGCAGCAACGCCGCGUGCGGGAUGACGGCCUUCGGGUUGUAAACCGCUUUCGCCUGUGACGAAGCGUGAGUGACGGUAAUGGGUAAAGAAGCACCGGGUUACUACGUG
RNAcentral lists this ribosomal RNA (468 nucleotides) under uncultured bacterium. RNAcentral's name for it is "partial 16S ribosomal RNA". It matches the Rfam family "Bacterial small subunit ribosomal RNA", at positions 28 to 507 of the family's 1533-position model. The record is from RNAcentral.